Long non-coding RNA from Magnolia sinica, 320 nucleotides. RefSeq lists it as uncharacterized. The transcript is spliced from 2 exons. The record is from RefSeq and is a predicted model, not a curated record. Lineage: Eukaryota; Viridiplantae; Streptophyta; Magnoliopsida; Magnoliales; Magnoliaceae.
AUGGAAUAUAGAAGCUGUUAGAGGAAGUGACUUUGUUAUUACUAGAGUUGUAUUUCGAGACAACUCUUCAAAGUACUACAUAAAUGACUGUGGAAGUAAUUUUACAGAGGUCACUAAGAAAUUGAAAGGAAAAGAAGUGGACUUGGACAACAAUCGGUUUUUGAUUCUUCAGGGUGAAGUCGAGCAAAUUUCUCUAAUGAAGUCAAAGAUUUGUAUUUUCAGCAUUAUUGUAAUUGUAAUUGUAAUUGAUUGAAUGAAGGAUUGUAACUGAAUGAAUGAAUGAUUGUAAUUGAUUGUAAUGGAAUGAAUGAAUGAUUAUG